Molecule: non-coding RNA, 959 nt
Organism: Cherax quadricarinatus
Lineage: Eukaryota; Metazoa; Arthropoda; Malacostraca; Decapoda; Parastacidae
Source: RefSeq, a predicted model, not a curated record
AUAGAAUGAAAGGUAUAUUACAGUAAUAGAUAUGAUUUUGAUUGCUUUCAUGACGAAAAGUACCUUGAAAUUGCGCUCACAGUAGCGAAAAUGUUCUAUUCUUUAGCAAAGCUCAAGAAUAAACAAAUGACGUCACCGUCCAAUACCUGUCCACCUGCUAGUCUAAAUUCCAGUACAGAGUCGAAUGGAUUGACAUUAUUUAUACAAUUAUUACAAUAAUGCAGUGUUCUGCAUAACAGUAAAUCUUCUAUUUUUUUGUGAAUAAAAAUUCCAAAUGGUCCCAGUGAUGCCGGAUUUGUGAUGGAGGACCUGUAGUACAAUGUACCAUAUGGUCAAUAGGUGUUGGUGGCAUGAGACACCAGUCAAGACUGAGUGAGUGGCCACACAAGCUAGCUACUGACUCAGCAGUUUCCCCGAGACAAAGUGCUUUAUCAUCCACAAGAAGUCACUGAUGUUGCCGCCACCCGGUCAUUUUGGGUCAACUUCCCGCCGCUGUAUCUCGGUAAGUACUGAUCAGAUUUUUUUUUGUUUUAUUACCUUCACAAAAAUAUUAUCUUUAAUUCUGUAAGAAAAAAUCAUUUUUUUUUUUUUUUCAAAAUUUCUUGGACACUGGGGCACCACUUCAGAUUUUGGCCUUGGACCCUGAAAGGGUUAAUAUAGGUCCAGAGUGACUUGUGGAGAUAUGACAGUAGUAGGUAUUGAAGGGGGACAUUUUUGCAACCUAAAUGUCCUAAAAUUCCUACAUGUCUCUGUAACCUUGAUAAAGAAUAAUUAUCUUUGUUACCAUAUAAUGGCAUGUAUCUAAUGAGAUUCAUCCAGGUAAUUUAAAUUUUCCAUAUAGUUGCCCGUUGGUCCUUGAUCAAACUGGAUGUAAUUAGUGAAGUCAAAAAUUAGUGAAUUAAUUACUUAAUAAUUAUAUGUGAAAUGACAGAAGGAGGUGGAUGUUAAAUCCACAGAUU